This 244-nucleotide ribosomal RNA is filed under the name uncultured Streptococcus sp. Its description in RNAcentral is "partial 16S ribosomal RNA". It matches the Rfam family "Bacterial small subunit ribosomal RNA", at positions 116 to 355 of the family's 1533-position model. Lineage: Bacteria; Bacillati; Bacillota; Bacilli; Lactobacillales; Streptococcaceae. The record is from RNAcentral.
CGUAGGUAACCUGCCUGGUAGCGGGGAUAACUAUUGGAAACGAUAGCUAAUACCGCAUAAGAGUAGAUGUUGCAUGACAUUUGCUUAAAAGGUGCAAUUGCAUCACUACCAGAUGGACCUGCGUUGUAUUAGCUAGUUGGUGGGGUGACGGCUCACCAAGGCGACGAUACAUAGCCGACCUGAGAGGGUGAUCGGCCACACUGGGACUGAGACACGGCCCAGACUCCUACGGGAGGCAGCAGCC